GCGUCGCCGGGGCGGGUCCCCCUCAAAGCCCUGGGGGACUCGUGCCCGGAAGGGGGGGCGGCGCCCACAGGCUCCUUCGCUGGCAGGGCCUCCAGCUCCGUAGAAUGCGAGGGGUUUCAAAGUUGGAAGGCAGAGAAAUACAGAACUGAUGAUACAACUUUAUUUGGAAAAGGGUCACCUCCUGGUCCACAAUGGCUUCUUCCCCUGUUGGCUAGCAUGUUCAUAUUCUAGACAGCAGGUAAGAGAGAAGGCCAAAGGAGAAAAGAGAUCACGAGCCAGGAUAGCUGUUCUCAGUCAACAGAUCACAUUCCCUGAGAAAACAGAGUUACUACUGGGGAGCAUUCAUCCUUCAUUGUAUGCCAAACUCUGUGAAAAAAAAAAUGUUCCUGGAAACAGAAAAAUGAACUAUAAUAUCCUCCUUUGCUGGCAGGGGAAAUUGCCACAUGGGGAGAUUUUAUAAGUCAGAAUAUAUUCAGGAUACUCAUUGGAAAGUACCCUACUUAGUUCCUGAAUUCCUAAGAAUUUAUCAACAUGUUUAGUUUUCUCUUAUUUAGAAAAAAGCUGUUCCACACUCUCUAACCUUUACAUGCAUAAGGGAAAAGGAAUCCUGUUCUAUCACCCAUAUUUGGGGGGUCAGUUUAGGUUAUUGGAGUUUAUGUACAUAAAACCAAUGUUGGGGGAUCCCUGGGUGGCGCAGCGGUUUGGCGCCUGCCUUUGGCCCAGGGCGCGAUCCUGGAGACCCGGGAUCGAAUCCCACGUCGGGCUCCCGGUGCAUGGAGCCUGCUUCUCCCUCUGCCUGUGUCUCUGCCUCUCUCUCUCUCUCUGUGUGAC
This 831-nucleotide long non-coding RNA is filed under the name Canis lupus familiaris (dog). Its description in RNAcentral is "lncRNA (ENSCAFG00845027351.1)". Lineage: Eukaryota; Metazoa; Chordata; Mammalia; Carnivora; Canidae. The record is from RNAcentral.